This 2987-nucleotide ribosomal RNA is filed under the name Salmonella enterica subsp. enterica serovar Typhimurium. Its description in RNAcentral is "bacterial LSU rRNA". It matches the Rfam family "Bacterial large subunit ribosomal RNA". The record is from RNAcentral. Lineage: Bacteria; Pseudomonadati; Pseudomonadota; Gammaproteobacteria; Enterobacterales; Enterobacteriaceae.
UUAAGCGACUAAGCGUACACGGUGGAUGCCCUGGCAGUCAGAGGCGAUGAAGGGCGUGCUAAUCUGCGAUAAGCGCCGGUAAGGUGAUAUGAACCGUUAUAACCGGCGAUACCCGAAUGGGGAAACCCAGUGUGACUCGUCACACUAUCAUUAACUGAAUCCAUAGGUUAAUGAGGCGAACCGGGGGAACUGAAACAUCUAAGUACCCCGAGGAAAAGAAAUCAACCGAGAUUCCCCCAGUAGCGGCGAGCGAACGGGGAGGAGCCCAGAGCCUGAAUCAGCAUGUGUGUUAGUGGAAGCGUCUGGAAAGGCGCGCGAUACAGGGUGACAGCCCCGUACACAAAAGCGCAUGUGCUGUGAGCUCGAUGAGUAGGGCGGGACACGUGGUAUCCUGUCUGAAUAUGGGGGGACCAUCCUCCAAGGCUAAAUACUCCUGACUGACCGAUAGUGAACCAGUACCGUGAGGGAAAGGCGAAAAGAACCCCGGCGAGGGGAGUGAAAAAGAACCUGAAACCGUGUACGUACAAGCAGUGGGAGCACAGGUUUACCUGUGUGACUGCGUACCUUUUGUAUAAUGGGUCAGCGACUUAUAUUCUGUAGCAAGGUUAACCGUAUAGGGGAGCCGUAGGGAAACCGAGUCUUAACCGGGCGUUAAGUUGCAGGGUAUAGACCCGAAACCCGGUGAUCUAGCCAUGGGCAGGUUGAAGGUUGGGUAACACUAACUGGAGGACCGAACCGACUAAUGUUGAAAAAUUAGCGGAUGACCUGUGGCUGGGGGUGAAAGGCCAAUCAAACCGGGAGAUAGCUGGUUCUCCCCGAAAGCUAUUUAGGUAGCGCCUCGUGAAUUCAUCUCCGGGGGUAGAGCACUGUUUCGGCUAGGGGGCCAUCCCGGCUUACCAACCCGAUGCAAACUGCGAAUACCGGAGAAUGUUAUCACGGGAGACACACGGCGGGUGCUAACGUCCGUCGUGAAGAGGGAAACAACCCAGACCGCCAGCUAAGGUCCCAAAGUCAUGGUUAAGUGGGAAACGAUGUGGGAAGGCCCAGACAGCCAGGAUGUUGGCUUAGAAGCAGCCAUCAUUUAAAGAAAGCGUAAUAGCUCACUGGUCGAGUCGGCCUGCGCGGAAGAUGUAACGGGGCUAAACCAUGCACCGAAGCUGCGGCAGCGAACGUAUCACUUAAAGCGAUUCAGCGGGUUACGAUUGACGGAGCGAAGCGACGUCAAAGCGUAUACAAAGUCGAGUCGGUUUAAGGAUACGUUCGUUGGGUAGGGGAGCGUUCUGUAAGCCCGUGAAGGUGGCCUGUGAGGGUUGCUGGAGGUAUCAGAAGUGCGAAUGCUGACAUAAGUAACGAUAAAGCGGGUGAAAAGCCCGCUCGCCGGAAGACCAAGGGUUCCUGUCCAACGUUAAUCGGGGCAGGGUGAGUCGACCCCUAAGGCGAGGCCGAAAGGCGUAGUCGAUGGGAAACGGGUUAAUAUUCCCGUACUUGGUGUUACUGCGAAGGGGGGACGGAGAAGGCUAUGUUGGCCGGGCGACGGUUGUCCCGGUUUAAGCGUGUAGGUGUGUGUUCCAGGUAAAUCCGGUUCACUUUAACACUGAGGCGUGACGACGAGGCACUACGGUGCUGAAGCAACAAAUGCCCUGCUUCCAGGAAAAGCCUCUAAGCAUCAGGUAACACGAAAUCGUACCCCAAACCGACACAGGUGGUCAGGUAGAGAAUACCAAGGCGCUUGAGAGAACUCGGGUGAAGGAACUAGGCAAAAUGGUGCCGUAACUUCGGGAGAAGGCACGCUGACACGUAGGUGAAGUGAUUUACUCAUGGAGCUGAAGUCAGUCGAAGAUACCAGCUGGCUGCAACUGUUUAUUAAAAACACAGCACUGUGCAAACACGAAAGUGGACGUAUACGGUGUGACGCCUGCCCGGUGCCGGAAGGUUAAUUGAUGGGGUCAGCGCAAGCGAAGCUCCUGAUCGAAGCCCCGGUAAACGGCGGCCGUAACUAUAACGGUCCUAAGGUAGCGAAAUUCCUUGUCGGGUAAGUUCCGACCUGCACGAAUGGCGUAAUGAUGGCCAGGCUGUCUCCACCCGAGACUCAGUGAAAUUGAACUCGCUGUGAAGAUGCAGUGUACCCGCGGCAAGACGGAAAGACCCCGUGAACCUUUACUAUAGCUUGACACUGAACAUUGAGCCUUGAUGUGUAGGAUAGGUGGGAGGCUUUGAAGUGUGGACGCCAGUCUGCAUGGAGCCGACCUUGAAAUACCACCCUUUAAUGUUUGAUGUUCUAACGUGGACCCGUAAUCCGGGUUGCGGACAGUGUCUGGUGGGUAGUUUGACUGGGGCGGUCUCCUCCUAAAGAGUAACGGAGGAGCACGAAGGUUGGCUAAUCCUGGUCGGACAUCAGGAGGUUAGUGCAAUGGCAUAAGCCAGCUUGACUGCGAGCGUGACGGCGCGAGCAGGUGCGAAAGCAGGUCAUAGUGAUCCGGUGGUUCUGAAUGGAAGGGCCAUCGCUCAACGGAUAAAAGGUACUCCGGGGAUAACAGGCUGAUACCGCCCAAGAGUUCAUAUCGACGGCGGUGUUUGGCACCUCGAUGUCGGCUCAUCACAUCCUGGGGCUGAAGUAGGUCCCAAGGGUAUGGCUGUUCGCCAUUUAAAGUGGUACGCGAGCUGGGUUUAGAACGUCGUGAGACAGUUCGGUCCCUAUCUGCCGUGGGCGCUGGAGAACUGAGGGGGGCUGCUCCUAGUACGAGAGGACCGGAGUGGACGCAUCACUGGUGUUCGGGUUGUCAUGCCAAUGGCACUGCCCGGUAGCUAAAUGCGGAAGAGAUAAGUGCUGAAAGCAUCUAAGCACGAAACUUGCCCCGAGAUGAGUUCUCCCUGAGACUUAGAGUCUCCUGAAGGAACGUUGAAGACGACGACGUUGAUAGGCCGGGUGUGUAAGCGCAGCGAUGCGUUGAGCUAACCGGUACUAAUGAACCGUGAGGCUUAACCUU